Molecule: transfer RNA, 73 nt
Filed under: Parcubacteria group bacterium ADurb.Bin316
Lineage: Bacteria
Description: tRNA-Glu
Rfam family: tRNA
About the family: Transfer RNA (tRNA) molecules are approximately 80 nucleotides in length. Their secondary structure includes four short double-helical elements and three loops (D, anti-codon, and T loops).
Source: RNAcentral
GCCGCUAUCGUCUAGUGGUUAGGACAUGAGGUUUUCAUCCUUAAAACCGGGGUUCGAUUCCCCGUAGCGGUGC